Molecule: unclassified non-coding RNA, 257 nt
Filed under: Hevea brasiliensis (rubber tree)
Lineage: Eukaryota; Viridiplantae; Streptophyta; Magnoliopsida; Malpighiales; Euphorbiaceae
Source: RNAcentral
AAUGCGUGGCCCCUCUUGCUGAAGUCCCUUUAUCUGCUAUGCAAAAUGCAUUCGACACUAAUCUUUAUGGUCCCAUGAGGCUUAUUCAAGCAGCUGUUCCUCACAUGGAAAGCAGGAAAAAGGGAAAAAUUGUAAAUGUUGGAAGUGUUGCUGUCAUGGCUCCUAGCCCUUGGGCUGGUGUGUACACUGCAACCAAAGCUGCUCUUCAUUCACUCUCAGACACCUUGAGGUUGGAGCUCAAGCCUUUCGAGAUUGAU